UUUCGCAAUGCCCGAAAGGGUGACGAAGCGACGCCGCGUGGGUGAGGAAGGCCCUCGGGUUGUAAAGCCCUGUCAGGAGUUAAGAAAUGUAAGUGCGCUAAUAUCGCAUUUAUUUGACGAAGGCUCCAAAGGAAGUCACGGCUAACUCUGUGCCAGCAGCCGCGGUAAUACAGAGGUGGCAAGCGUUGUUCGGAAUUACUGGGCGUAAAGAGCACGUAGGUGGGUUUGUAAGUCAGAUGUGAAAGCCUUCUGUUCAACGGAAGAAUUGCAUCUGAAACUACGAGUCUUGAGUGUAGGAGGGGAGAAUGGAACUUCUGGUGGAGCGGUGAAAUGCGUAGAUAUCAGAAGGAACGCCGGCGGCGAAAGCGAUUCUCUGGCCUAUUACUGACACUCAGUGUGCGAAAGCUAGGGGAGCAAACGGGAUUAGAUACCCCGGUAGUCCUAGCCGUAAACGAUGGGCACUAAGUAGAGGGGUUUU
This 478-nucleotide ribosomal RNA is filed under the name uncultured bacterium. RNAcentral describes it as "bacterial SSU rRNA". It matches the Rfam family "Bacterial small subunit ribosomal RNA", at positions 364 to 832 of the family's 1533-position model. The record is from RNAcentral.